RNAcentral lists this ribosomal RNA (785 nucleotides) under uncultured Actinomycetales bacterium. Its description in RNAcentral is "bacterial SSU rRNA". It matches the Rfam family "Bacterial small subunit ribosomal RNA", at positions 8 to 796 of the family's 1533-position model. Lineage: Bacteria; Bacillati; Actinomycetota; Actinomycetes; Actinomycetales. The record is from RNAcentral.
AGAGUUUGAUCAUGGCUCAGGACGAACGCUGGCGGCGUGCUUAAUACAUGCAAGUCGAGCGUCGAAAGGAGAAGGGGUAACCCUUCUCCCUGAAAGCGGCGAACGGGUGAGUAACACGUGGGUAACGUGCCCCAGACUCUGGGAUAACAACGGGAAACCGUUGCUAAUACCGGAUAACCCCUGCGCUCCGCAUGAAGUGCAGGGCAAAGUUCCGGCGGUCUGGGAUCGGCCCGCGGCCUAUCAGCUUGUUGGUGGGGUAACGGCCUACCAAGGCGGUGACGGGUAGCUGGCGUGAGAGCGUGGCCAGCCACACUGGGACUGAGACACGGCCCAGACUCCUACGGGAGGCAGCAGUAGGGAAUCUUGCGCAAUGGGCGAAAGCCUGACGCAGCGACGCCGCGUGAGGGAUGAAUGCCUUCGGGUUGUAAACCUCUUUCAGCAGGGACGAAGCCUCACGGUGACGGUACCUGCAGAAGAAGCCCCGGCCAACUACGUGCCAGCAGCCGCGGUAAUACGUAGGGGGCAAGCGUUGUCCGGAUUUAUUGGGCGUAAAGAGCUCGUAGGUGGCUAUUCGCGUCGGGUGUUAAAGCUCAGGGCUCAACUCUGAGAGGCCAUUCGAUACGGGAUAGCUAGAGGCAGGUAGGGGAGAUCGGAAUUCCUGGUGUAGCGGUGAAAUGCGCAGAUAUCAGGAGGAACACCGGUGGCGAAGGCGGAUCUCUGGGCCUUGCCUGACACUGAGGAGCGAAAGCUGGGGGAGCGAACAGGAUUAGAUACCCUGGUAGUCC